UCUCAUCAUUCUCAGCGAUUCAUUUCACUCAGGCAACUGAACAACCCGCUGUAGUUGGUCUUACAGUCUACAACUUUCUGAGAAAUCUGCAAAGAACAUAUUCUUUAGACUGCUGCUGAAAGUGUUUUAGUUCAAAUAAAUCUCACCAUGUCACAAGUUUAUGGAUCUACUAAAACCGGAUAUGAUGGACUCAAUCAAAUAUUGGUUGAUAGGAAUGAAUUAGGUAUGAUUCAUUCUACAAUAUAGA
Molecule: long non-coding RNA, 247 nt
Organism: Centruroides sculpturatus (bark scorpion)
Lineage: Eukaryota; Metazoa; Arthropoda; Arachnida; Scorpiones; Buthidae
Exons: 3
Source: RefSeq, a predicted model, not a curated record